This 497-nucleotide ribosomal RNA is filed under the name uncultured bacterium. RNAcentral describes it as "partial 16S ribosomal RNA". It matches the Rfam family "Bacterial small subunit ribosomal RNA", at positions 28 to 507 of the family's 1533-position model. The record is from RNAcentral.
GAUGAACGCUGGCGGCGUGCCUAAUACAUGCAAGUCGAGCGAAAAGACGAGGAUCUUGCUCCUCUGACGUUAGCGGCGCACGGGUGAGUAACACGUGGAUAACCUACCUAUAAGUCUGGUAUAACUUGGGGAAACGGGAUCUAAUAGCAGAUAAUAUAUUGAACCGCGUGGGUCGAUAGUGAAAUACGGUGUUUCUGUCUCUUAUCGAUGGAUACGCGCCGGAUUAGGUGGUUGGGAAGGUAACGGCUUAGGAAGGGAACGAUGCGUAGCCGAAGUGAGAGGCUGAUCGGCGACCCGGGAACUUGGACACGCACCAGACUCCUACGGGAGGCAGCAGUAGGGAAUCUUCCGCAACAGGCGAGAGCAUGACGGAGCAACGCCGAGUGAGUGACGAAGAUGUUCGGAUCGUAAAGCUCUGUUAUUAGGGAAGAACAAAUGUGUAAGUAACUAUGGACGUCUUGACGGUACCUAAUAAGAAAGCCACGGCUAACUACGUG